RNAcentral lists this long non-coding RNA (4206 nucleotides) under Spirodela polyrhiza (greater duckweed). Its description in RNAcentral is "long non-coding RNA (SPOL_LNC000620)". Lineage: Eukaryota; Viridiplantae; Streptophyta; Magnoliopsida; Alismatales; Araceae. The record is from RNAcentral.
UGCUCUCCAUAUUUCAAUGCCCUAUGAUCUGUUGUUCUGAAAUCAAGUUACUGUUGCAUCCUCGCUGAGUUCUUGCUUGGACUGCUGUGGAUUUGAAGCUUCCUUAUGUUGCUGAAUGAAUACAGGAAAACAAAUAUAAGGUGACAUAAAUGAAUGUUGGGAAAACUACUAUAAACAAAUAUUCCUAGUACUGGUAAAACUACUAUAAACACCUUUCAUAUGUAGCAUGUAUGGUUGCUUGUCAGACUAGACCAGGGAAUGGGCCAUUCCUUGGUUCAAUCUGGGAUCAAAUCAAGAGUCCAGUUCCAAGGGUUGAAUCCUCCCAAAGAAGAAUUUGAGUACGGAGCCAAUCCACUUAACUUGUCUGUUCCAGGGAUCUUAAAAUCGACUUUACACUCUUCUCCCCAGAUUGGUCAUAGAGGAACCAGAAAUCAGAUUUAGAAUUUUUCCUUGUGCCUGGGUUUGCUGGUUCAUCAUAGACUGACAGAUUGAGGGUUGGAAAGUGAGUCAAAAGGCUGCUUCCAUGAAAAUCUUGUAUCAUCAUGAGAGGAAAACUGGUCCUAUUUGCUAAAGAAGAAACUGGUCCCAUUUGAUAUAUACAUCUUAAAAUUCUGGUUGUGUUCCUUAGGCGCCCCCUUAAUUCUUGGUUCUUGCUCCUCCAUUCGCACUUCUCUUCCUCACAUUUCUUGGUUAGUUGCCUCUAACCAAAAUCUACGCAUCUUUGUAUCCAAGAACACUUGUUUCUUAGCAUCUUUGUAUCCUGCCGAUCUUAAUCAGCACGGUUAAUAUGCGUCUAAUUUUCCAAGGUGUCUUAGAAUCCACCCUCUAAUUUUCAGUCUUUUUUCUAAAAAAUGUUGUUAAACGUAUUGAUUACUGAUCGUUACUCCUACACUUUUCAGAUUAAUAACAUAUUUGUCCUUAGAUUUCCUCCCAACUACAAAUUUUACCAUGCUUCAGAAUCUGGAACUGAUUGUAUCACUACAUUUGACCUAUGAAAUGGCAGAAAGCAUUUGAAAAGUCCUUUCUCAAAACAAGAGUGACCACAUCGACAACGCCUAGGAAUCUAACUGGGGACAAUAGGAAGCUUACAUUAGCUGCAUGGGCAGUUUUAAAGACUUAUUUUUGAAGUCUUUGGCACCAUGCAUAUUAACAAGUGGCCCGGGCCCUCUGGUUGGAGGGCCCUGCAAAAUGGUGAAUAUUGAUUGGACUAUACGUUGCAAAGUUUAGAUUUAUUGGUGACACGAAUACACUUGGGAGCUGGCUGAGCUCAUUGCUUCUGCUAAAUUAUCAUCUAGUUUCUCUGCUGCCAUGCUUUCUACCUAUAUUUGUGUCACAAUGUGGUCCUAUCGCAGUGUUCUUUUCUUUUCUCGAUUAAGGAAAAAAAUAGAAAAACAAUGCCAUCAUCUAAUAUAGAUUUCUGGCGCAAACCAUGCAAGGAUAAGCAGUCGGGAAAAAUCCCCUUGACAAGGCAAAUCAUAGAACAAUUGCUAGUUAUAUACAAUAACCCUGGCCACAAAAAAGGAAACUACCUGGGUUAAGGAAAUUCCUAAUUACACGUUUUUCCCGCAAUUUACAUUGGAAUUAAUAGGUGUGAAGCCCAGUUUGAUUUAGUAGAUUUAGUCACAUGAGAAAGGAAUAUAAUAUCUUAGGCUGCUUCCAUGAGAGUAUUUCAAUGACCUCAAACAGAAAGCAGGACCAAUAAUCGCAUGUUUUAUGAAAUAUGAUUGGGACUACAAACGCUGUGUUCCAGUUGAACGUGUUUUUUAACCUUCAUUUUACUUCAAUUGUUUCAGGAGCCUGUGCAAUUCGAGGAAGAUAUAAUUAAAUUCUGCAAAGAAACUAGUUUAUCUGUUGCACUAGAUGAAACCGUUGACAACAUCAAAGGCGAUCUUCUCAGUAAACUAGAAAAAUUUGUCCACCCAGGAAUCGUUGCUGUUGUAAGUCCAAAUUUAAGUUGCAUAGAAUUGUCAUCUGAAUAUGUCGUAUGUCGUCCAAACUACCUAUAACCUGAUUUAAUUUUCUGUCAGGUUAUCAAACCAAGUGUAGUUGGGGGAUUUGAAAAUGCAGCUCUGAUUGCACGGUGGGCACAGCAACACGAGAAGAUGGCUGUUAUUAGCAGUGCAUUUGAAAGUAGCCUGAGUCUGGCAUCAUAUGUUCUAUUUUCAUACCAUCUCGAGUGCCAAGCAGCAGCAAUAUCAAGGGCUAGGGGAAAUGAACCAAGGCCAGUGACUGCCCAUGGUCUUGGAACGUAUAGAUGGUUGAAAGAAGAUUUAGCAACCGAAACUAUCAGUGUUUCUACUCAUCCGAAUGGAAAUAUAAUGGAAGCUUCCGUAGAAGAUGCAGGGCAGUUGCUUCAGAGAUUCAAAACUGACAAAAGAACUAUCCGUAGAAGUUAUUGCGGGGAGCAAGUGAAGACAUACAGAUGGACCCUUGAUGAUGUGAAUUGUUCCUGCUCCAUCAAGGUCCAAGAGGUUGGAAUUGCAGAUGUAAGAAUCUCAGACCCUAGCAUCGCAUUUAGUCAACUGUCAUACGGCUUGAUCUCAUUUCAUCUUCUUAGCGGCAUCACUGCACAAAGGCUCUUAAAAAUUUGGUCUCAAUAUCAUUUAGAGUUUCUAAAUGCAGUUUUGAUGAUUUGCGAAGCCAUGUUGGCAUAGAGUCUACAAUCUUUUUGACUCUAGUGAUUCAUGAGGAUCAAGUUUAAAAAUGGCUUGGAUCUGGUUGGAAUUAAUAUAUUUUUUUCAUUUUAAUAGCGCUGGAAAAAUAUAAGGAUAUCAAACUAGGUAUCAAACUCUGUUUGAAAGCAUGAUUUGUACUACGCUUGAAACAUCUGGUCACUGGGAUCUUCCUUUUUCUUCGAGACCGAAUAAAUGAUACGAUGAGCCACUAACCUGCAUUUGGAACACCUACUCUAUUCACUGAUUCUUCAUUUUAAGGGCAUGUGAAAGCUUCGACUGAAUUUUUUUUCAGCUACUAAAUCACACACUUGUGGAAGAGAGAAAAAUAAUUUCUCAUGACUCACAAUUUUUCUCGUGGCAGAAUCCAGUGACCAUAUUUCUCCAUGGCUUUCUUGGUGCUGGCGAUGAUUGGAUUUCUAUAAUGAAGGCCCUAUCGGCCAGCGCUCGGUGCAUAUCUGUUGACCUUCCUGCACACGGGGAAUCAGAAAUAAAAUGGAAAAUGGACAACGGGGCCAAGAGUGAAACAAGUAUGACAGUUGAAUUGGUUGGUGAUAUUCUGCACAAGUUGCUCUCUGACGUCACUAGGAAAAAGGUCGUCCUCGUGGGAUAUUCACUGGGGGCCAGAAUUGCGUUGUACAUGGCAACUAAGUACAGUGACAAGGUCUGCUGAUCAUACUCAAUGCAAAUUUUUUUUUUAUCCUACUAUUUUACUUUGAUUAUUUUAUUCUCUAAUCGGAGGAAAAUUCCAUACAGAUCGAGGGAACUGUGCUGAUAUCUGGGAGCCCGGGGAUAAGGGAUGAUGCAGCCAGAAGAGCCCGACUUGCACAAGAUGAUGCGAGGGCUCGCUACCUAUCUUCCCACGGGUUGGAGUGCUUUCUGAAGACCUGGUAUGCGGCAGACUUGUGGACCAGGUGAUUUCCAUGCACACCUUGUGGCUCUCUAUUCUCAUUCAGACCAGUCACAAAAACAUUACCCAAAAAACCCAUUUCUAAAUCACAAGAGAUGGUAAGUUUGAUAAGAUAAACUUUGGGAAUUAAGUCCAAUAGGUGGCCUAAGGUGUCAGGUAUCAACAGUAAGCAUAUUUAGAUAACGACACACAAACGGUGCUGGGAUCGAAAAAUAAGUGCCCCAAGUCAUCCAUAAAAAUAUCAAUACAAUAUGAAGAUCUUACAGAUUAGAUAUGGAGUUGAAUGAUGAGAGCUUUAAUAAUUUUACGAGAAAAGUUAAAACCAUCUAAAUUUUGUACAGAUGCUAGCAGUGCAAAUCAAAGAACCUUGGAAUUGAAUUGGCUUUGUAGGAAACCUCAAUUUAACCACUGAACGACGUCAUAAAAAAAUUUAUAUGAAUUGAAUAAUUAACUCUAUGAAGCAAAGGCUUUCCUCACCCAUGAAAAUCUGCCUUCUAGUUUGGGAUAAAUUCUGGGCAGGCAUCUACUAGAUUACAUCGUCUGAAUCAUCCACGAGUCGCACCCAAAUCACUUUCGUGUUGUACUUCCAGUUAUCAGUAACGUGUAUGGCUGGCCGGAGCAUUU